GUGAUGCGCAGAAGUGCGGAGCGGAAGCGUUUCCUUCCAUAGGGCUCCCCCUCCCUGUUUACAGCCUUAAUCUUAGCACAUACAUUUAUUAACCUCUACCAAAGCGAUAAGGAUUUUAAGAAUGCACGAUGACAUCGUCUUUUCUGCUAGUGUCACUCCUCUUGCUACCAGCGGCGUCUGGAGUGUCUGUGUCCGAUUUCACUUCCAAGUCUUCGGCUUGCGCCAGCGACUACUCGUGUGAGGCUUCUUCAAGGACCUCGGGAAGCAGCGGGCCAAUGUGCAGGUGUGAUAAGGAGUGCAUCAUCUACGGUGAUUGUUGUUACGAUGCUCCCACUUACGAUAGGGCCAAACAGAUUCAGAACCUGGGAAAACGUCAGUGCAUAGGUGGAAGUUACAUGUUUAACACCUGCCCUGAAGAGUGGCAGGAUACCGACGUAGAAUCGUUAUGCAGGAACCAUUCACCUCUGGAUAUCGCUGACAGCAGAGACCCAGUUCUACAUCUGCCUGUUACCAGUAAAAUUACGAAUUUUACUUACUCCAAUUACUACUGCGCUUUGUGUCAUUCCGAUGCUGUUAAUAUAGAGGUGUGGAAUUCCAAAAUGCAGUGUUUCUUCACUAGUAAUAACAAAACGUCAGACGGAAAUACUAAUAAUACUAAUAUGCUACAAGAUUUGUUGAACCUUCGAAAAGACAGAAUAACCCUUCGUGAAGGCACAGACGAUGAAAAAUCGUUAAAGCUCAUAAAGCCUAGUCUAAAGUUUAACAAAGAAAGGAAAAAGUGGCUGAUAACGAAUUCAAACAACAGUGACAUCAUCAUGGAAUGUUCCUUUAAUUUAGACCUUAACAAAGUUCGUCCAUCAAAUAAGUGCAGUUCAUCCAUAAGCAGCUGCGCUGCGAACUGGACUAACAAAGAAGUGGAAAAUCUUUGUCUCUCCCUUUCAGCUCCUGUUGACUACUACAGCGACUGCAAAAUAGUUAACAAUAGUGGCAUCGUGUAUGCUAAAACGAACGUUACACCAAUUUCAUACAGAAAUAUGUUCUGCGCAGAGUGCAAUUACAACCCAAUUGAAAGUCCUUGCUUAGUGUUUGUUCAGCAGGAUACAAGAGACAAAUCUUUCCCAAUUCCUCCAUUAACAGUUUUGCUUCAUGUUCCUGAACACAUUCACAGGAUAAAUCUACAGGCAAAUGCAAACUGCAAAGAUAAUGAAACUUUCAUUCAUUUGUAUAAUACUAAAGACAUUUGCAUACUUUGUCAAACUGUAAGGGAGCAAAAUACAGAGGGAAAAUGUAUUGCUAAAAACUAUGACUAUGAACUUCAAGGUGGUCCAGUUACUCGGGAAAACAACGAGAAAAAUGUUUUCGAUCAAAACACAACUUUAUUAUACGAAGAUGAAACCAACAUAUCCUGUGACGAGUUUUUUAUAUGGAAUAAUAGUUUUCUACCAAGCACACGUAAUCUGACAACAGAAGGAACCUCUGAGGGUCUCCAUAAAAAAUAUAACAAAAGUAAGGUAGGAAUAACUAGUAUCAAUGAGUGCCUGACAAAGUCACGUUAUAUUAUGAUAUCGGUCAUUUCUCUUAUGUGUAUCACCCUUUCCGUCAUAAGUAUAUUACUUCAUCUAAUGGCGUUCGCGUUCGUGAAAAGUCUGAGAAACCUUCCUGGGAUGAACUUAGCCACUCUUUGCUGUUUUCUGCUGAUGGGAUAUAUUGCGUUCAUCAGCUCAGACAGGGAACCCAAAACGACCCCGUGCUACUUGGUAGCAUCCGCUAUUUACUUUUGUUUCAUUGGGUCCUUUUGCUGGAUGAAUGUGAUAGCUUUUGAUACUUGGCUGACUUUCAGAACAGGCACUACAGUUGUCAGGUCGCUGGAGACUUGGAGACAUUACAGAAGAUAUUCUCUCGUCAGUUGGUCAUUGUCGGCCUUUGCUGUGGCUUCGCUGAUCGCUGUCGACAAACUUCAGUUACCAGGAAUACCAAAGUCUUUGCUACCCAAACUAGGAGAAAAUUGGUGUUGGUUUGGACAAAGGUUAUCAUUACUACUAUUCUUCGUCGCGCCUAUGAUGGUAUCUAGCAUUUUCACAUUAGUCUUUUUCAUCAAGACGUCACGUCUCAUAUCUAGAGAUCAUCAAGAACAAAGCAGGAUCCCGGGAAUCCAAAGAAAGAGAGACUUAUUUAAAACUAACAGAAGGCUCGCAGUUUCAAUGGGGCUUACUUGGGUGACUGCUGUGGUGGCUGGUUCGGUGGAAAUCCCAUUUGUGUGGUUUAUUUUUAUCCUUUUCAAUGGUCUGCAAGGAGUUUUCAUUUUCGCCACAUUCACCUGCCAAAAAAGAGUGUGGGAGAAUAUCGUGAAGGUUUGGAAACGAAAGAAUACUGACGUAGAUCACGGAGGAACCUGGCCUAGAAGAAAUACUUCCUUAAGCAGGCAUCAACAAAGGCGCUUGGAACUACUGCACGUUUCUACAUCCUAUGAUCUGGCACACCCACCGGCUCGAGUGACUGGAGUCUAUCCACAGCAGGCAGUGUGACACCAAGCAAUAACCUUCAUCCUGCAUGCAACUGCAAUACAUUAUUUUCAUGGAAACGAUGAGGCAUCGGAGAAAAAGUGACGAAGAUUGAGGCCAGAUUGCAACCGUUGCGUUAGUGCAGACAUUCACUAUACCUAACAAGACAUGGUGCAGUUGUAUUGGAAACAACUUUCGCAUGUAGAAGAAGAAGAAGAAGAAGAAGAAGAAGAAGAAGAAGACGAAGAAGAAGAAGAAGACGACGAUGAUGAUGAUGAAAAGAUCGUCGACAACACAAUUGAUUGUCGGCUGUUUGUUAUUAACUACUUAUCUUUAUGAAACUGUGGACACUCCAUUACAUGUAGCAAUUAGAUUAACCUUUGCACAUUAGCUUUUUUUAUAAUAAACUAAAAAUAAUACUUUAUUUUCCAGAAUAACAAUAAGGAACUAUUUUGUAGUUUUUGAAGUUUUUAUUUUAAAAAUACAUUUUAUAAUUUUUCAGGUUCAAUGAUUGUCAUAUUAAAUCCGUGUUUUUAAUGCUGACAAAUUAGCUAACUGAAAAAACUGAACAGGUUGCAAGGUACCGUUUACCGUGUCAGCUACCCAGCCAUGCAGCGUCAGAAAUUUCCUACUUUGUGCCUUCACAUGAACAGCAGCAGCUGCUGGUGCAGUGUUUGAAGGUCUCGACAGUAUUUGAAGAAGGCUUCAGCACUAACUUUAUUUCAAUCUCUUUGAAAGGAACCCACACACCACAACAGGAAAUAUUAGAAAUAAAGAGUAACAUCUUAUCGCACAGUCACAUUUGGUUAAGAAACACGCCACGAACAUGACAUCUCAGCUUGAACAAAAUAAAUAUAGAAGAAAGACUAAAUCUGCAAAAUACAGAUAUUUGAAAUAGGAGAAAAACCUGAAAAUGUAUUGCACACAGUAACCAAGAAUACAAAAGUAAAGUGUGUGAGUUUCUGAGGCUAUCAUUAUAAGAAGGCAACGUGUUACCCAAAUAUUCUAGUUUGGUUACGUUUGUUUAUCUAUCUAGCAAUAUACAUAUAUAUAUAUAUAUAUA
This is an RNA transcript of Macrobrachium nipponense, 3564 nucleotides long. RefSeq lists it as uncharacterized. NCBI's taxonomy places the organism in Eukaryota, Metazoa, Arthropoda, Malacostraca, Decapoda, Palaemonidae. The transcript has 2 exons. The record is from RefSeq and is a predicted model, not a curated record.